This 513-nucleotide ribosomal RNA is filed under the name Parazoanthus sp. 'Mada3'. RNAcentral's name for it is "partial 16S ribosomal RNA". It matches the Rfam family "Bacterial large subunit ribosomal RNA", at positions 2006 to 2474 of the family's 2925-position model. The record is from RNAcentral. Lineage: Eukaryota; Metazoa; Cnidaria; Anthozoa; Zoantharia; Parazoanthidae.
GAAGGCCCCACUGUCUUAAGGAAAUUCCCAGUGAAAUUGAAUUCGUAGUGAAGAUGCUACGUCCAAUUUGUUAGACGAAAAGACCCCGUUGAGCUUUACUGGGGCACUUACACGGCCCCGGCCUUCAAGACUGGGUUGAUAAGCCAAGGCUUACCAUACCUAGGGACCGGCCGAAUUUAAAUGGGCGGCUUAGACUAUGUGGCAGCUCCCCCCGUCGGGGCAGAUGAAACCCCACUCCCCCAUGUCAAAGGGGCUAACCCCCCCCCCUUGGGGGGGGGACAAUGUAAGUAGGACAGUUUGGUUGGGGCGACCGCCUUUUAGAGAGUAACGAAGGUGCGCUUAAGGUGCGUAAUUAAUGACUGAAGCCUGACUGCGAGGGGGAUACCCCGAGCAGACACCCCCAAGCCCGCCCGAGAAGGCUUUGCCUUCUGGGCGGCGGUGGGGUGGGCCAUAGUGACCCGUUAAUUUAGAGUGGAAUAGUUAACGAUCAACGAAUAAAAGUUACCACGGGGA